RNAcentral lists this long non-coding RNA (551 nucleotides) under Brassica rapa (field mustard). RNAcentral's name for it is "long non-coding RNA (BRAP_LNC004018)". Lineage: Eukaryota; Viridiplantae; Streptophyta; Magnoliopsida; Brassicales; Brassicaceae. The record is from RNAcentral.
AAGUACCUAAAAUCAAGCAUCAAAAUAAUAAACACUAUAAGUUUUAAGACAUAAUUUCUGGCGAAAAAAGCAAGAGCAAAGCCCGUGAGUUCGUGAUUGCGAUCGCAUGAACCUUUUCUGACUACUCGUGCCCUAUAUCGUGGUUUAUUGGUAGGUGGACUUGGGGAGAUAUGCAGCCCGGAUUCAAAAACACUCCACUACACUUCACCUUAUGGUCACAUGAAUAUAAAUCCAUACUUUAGGCUCCAUUUGAAUAUCCAGAGAAAAGUUUAUCCAUGGACUGCAUUUCAUUUUCAAGAUUAAUUGAACCCUUAUGUAAAUCUAGGAUAUUCUUAGAUUAAUUAAAAAUUAUGCAGAAGUCCUACUGGAGUGAUACAUGAACUCUGUCCUCACUUAGAGUUCGGAUAGGGGAUCUCUCGCAUGGUCCAAGUCUACCAAAAACAAAAAUGUUCAAACUCGACGACUGAGUAAUGUUAUUUAGAAUUGAAGGCUGGAAGGUGUCCUCGAGGUAUUGGACAUUAAUUUCCUGAAAGUUCUUAGAAUCAGAGUUU